CUACGGGGUGCAGCAGUGGGGAAUCUUGGACAAUGGGCGCAAGCCUGAUCCAGCCAUGCCGCGUGAGUGAAGAAGGCCUUAGGGUCGUAAAGCUCUUUCGCCAGAGAUGAUAAUGACAGUAUCUGGUAAAGAAACCCCGGCUAACUCCGUGCCAGCAGCCGCGGUAAUACGGAGGGGGUUAGCGUUGUUCGGAAUUACUGGGCGUAAAGCGCGCGUAGGCGGAUUAGUCAGUCAGAGGUGAAAUCCCAGGGCUCAACCCUGGAACUGCCUUUGAUACUGCUAGUCUCGAGUUCGGGAGAGGUGAGUGGAAUUCCGAGUGUAGAGGUGAAAUUCGUAGAUAUUCGGAGGAACACCAGUGGCGAAGGCGGCUCACUGGCUCGAUACUGACGCUGAGGUGCGAAAGUGUGGGGAGCAAACAGGAUUAGAUACCCCAGUAGUC
This 439-nucleotide ribosomal RNA is filed under the name uncultured bacterium. RNAcentral describes it as "partial 16S ribosomal RNA". It matches the Rfam family "Bacterial small subunit ribosomal RNA", at positions 339 to 795 of the family's 1533-position model. The record is from RNAcentral.